This 220-nucleotide long non-coding RNA is filed under the name Citrus maxima (pomelo). RNAcentral's name for it is "long non-coding RNA (CMAX_LNC003460)". The record is from RNAcentral. Lineage: Eukaryota; Viridiplantae; Streptophyta; Magnoliopsida; Sapindales; Rutaceae.
AUUUUGAAGAUGUUUUAAAAGAAAAAUGAUCUGAUUUUGACUCUUAUUAUGGGCAGCGGUUUCUAUUGUUUUGCCAAUCACAUCCGUGUAUCCCUGGACUGCACCCGCAGCAAUGACUUGGCAUGUCUUGAUUGGCAUUUGCAAAAAUCAGUCACCGUCUCUGACCGAAAGGGAAACCAUUAAGCUUCAUGUGUGAAUGGCAUAGGAUACCGGAGAAAGC